Molecule: long non-coding RNA, 1025 nt
Organism: Triticum dicoccoides
Lineage: Eukaryota; Viridiplantae; Streptophyta; Magnoliopsida; Poales; Poaceae
Exons: 6
Source: RefSeq, a predicted model, not a curated record
UCUUUCCCGAGCACGCAACCUCUCCUCCCCUCUCCAGAAAAAUACUAUCCUUCGACCUGGAUCGGCUCACGCGACCGUCGGGCCAUGUCGCCACCGACGCUGACGCCUGCCAACGGCGGCAGGCUGGAUCUGGACGGCGUGCUCGUAGCGCUGCUCACCAUCUGCGUGAUCUGGGCCGACGGGUUCAUCUCCUCCUACCUCUGUGAGAAGCUCAUGGCCGAGACCCCGCACUCUGUCCUCGCUGUCGACCUCCUCGUCGACCCACCCCCGCCCCACCUCGCCGACUACAUCUCCUUCCACUGCCUCAACAUCAUGAACAACACCCGCCUGGAGGGCCUCAUCAAGACGUCCGAUCUGGUUGGGUGAAGGUGUUGGUAGUACAAGGAAAGAAGUACGGCAUCAGGCUGCAGAAAUAUCUUUAAGAAAUUUGGCAAGUUCCUGUUUAGGGAGAAAAGAAAAUCCUGUUAUCCUCGUCCAGAGAUAGACCAUUUGGCACCAAUGAAUCAGCUGUUGAGUACAAAUAAUGUGGGAAGUUCUUCUUUGGCAAUCACGAUGUGUUCGUACAUAUGUUUGAAAGGAUCGUGUUGAUAGUGUUGCUACUUGCUACCAAUGCUUUUGUUGAGGAGGCUGCAGAUCUGUUGUGUUUGCUGCUGGGUCCUGGUUGCCCUGGAGUGUUAAAUUCAGAACGUAAGUGAAUGAUCACUGUACCGCAGCCACCCGGCUUGGCACAAGAUAGGAAAAGUGGUUUGGUGUACAAGGAGACUACAACUUUUUUGUUAAGGACUGCUGGGGCCAAGUCUGGUGGAUCUGUUUAAUUUUUGCAGCAGGGCAGUUCCGUGCUCCUUUUAUUGCCCAAAUGCAGUACAUAGGGCAGGAGGGGCAGGGCGGAGGUUCGACCUCCUGCACCUUCCAUCCCAGGCCUAUCUUUGUCAUUCUCGGCGGCCGGCCGAGCUCUGCGCUCCGGAACAACCAAAACAUGCUUGAGAUCUCAGUAAAAAAGGAUUUUUUUUACUGUGUUUACUCUA